RNAcentral lists this small RNA (119 nucleotides) under human gut metagenome. Its description in RNAcentral is "Ribosomal protein L10 leader". The stretch from base 14 to 119 matches the Rfam family "Ribosomal protein L10 leader", at positions 19 to 134 of the family's 138-position model. Rfam says of the family: This family is a putative r-protein leader autoregulatory structure found in B. subtilis and other low-GC Gram-positive bacteria. It is located in the 5' untranslated regions of mRNAs encoding ribosomal proteins L10 and L12 (rplJ-rplL). A Rho-independent transcription terminator structure that is probably involved in regulation is included at the 3' end. The record is from RNAcentral.
UUUAUCUGGCGCUCCGAAGACAGCAGGUGGCAUCCGCCGUAAUUCCUGCCGAGGACAUCAACAAUAUCUUGAUUGUUUUUGUGUCUCUGCGUCUUUAUGCCGCAGGGGUUUUCUUUUUG